This is a long non-coding RNA of Triticum dicoccoides, 858 nucleotides long. RefSeq lists it as uncharacterized. Lineage: Eukaryota; Viridiplantae; Streptophyta; Magnoliopsida; Poales; Poaceae. The record is from RefSeq and is a predicted model, not a curated record. The transcript is spliced from 3 exons.
UGUGUAGCGAAUAGCCAGCUGAUUAAUUGAUGUCUGACGCUCCCUCUCCUAAAUCCUAAUAAUUGUCCAGACGGCGCUCCGCUUCCUCUCCCCACCAUCUCCACAAGAAACUAAUGAAUUGCCCUUUAAAGUCUGUUGGGCCUCACCUCAUUUCGUCCCCACCGUCCUCCAGUACGGCUGGGUCUCUACCACACCACUCAUGCUGCCUCCGGUACUACGUGCUCGACGAUGCCCAAGUAGCCAUCUUCCUUGGUUUUCCCUCACUGCAAAUACAGGCGCAUUCAGUUUCUGCCUCCUAAUGCUACAUACUAUUCCCAACUUCUCCUCGGUUGUUAAUUCUGGAAUUUUGCUACAUUCGGUUUUUUGCUCGGUGCACUCUAAUUCUUUAUAUGGAACGACUGAACACAUAUCGUAUUCUGCUGGUACGUUUUAUUGAUCGAUUGGCUUACCCCUUGAGAGAACUAUAUUAUCUAAGUGCAGCUCAAAGGAACAUGACCAUAGUCCUUCCAAAAGAUCCAACAAAGAGGAUGGACAGCAGGAGUAAACCAAACAUGCAGACCAAAUAGAUGUUAACAUGAGGAGGAGACAAUCAAAUAGGAAGGUUCUUCAUUGAUGGAUUAUGCUUAAAUGCACCGUGUUUCUCUUUGCCUUUCCCCAUGUUUUUCCCCCUUAAACCACCCGAGUCCCCAUUGCUCAAUGUGUAUUAGGGUAUUUUUAGUCAUAAUAAAUCUAUAAAUACCGAACUGUGUUUGUACCACAUUUCAAAUGUUAACAUCAGAAUCUCUAUUAUAAUGUCAUCUCUGCUCUUUAGCUAUUCAGCAGUAUAACCAUUUACUUUACACUUUGUGGUUUAACCUA